RNAcentral lists this ribosomal RNA (505 nucleotides) under uncultured bacterium. RNAcentral's name for it is "partial 16S ribosomal RNA". It matches the Rfam family "Bacterial small subunit ribosomal RNA", at positions 28 to 507 of the family's 1533-position model. The record is from RNAcentral.
GACGAACGCUGGCGGCGUGCCUAAUACAUGCAAGUAGAACGCACAGUUUAUACCGUAGCUUGCUACACCAUAAACUGUGAGUUGCGAACGGGUGAGUAACGCGUAGGUAACCUGCCUGGUAGCGGGGGAUAACUAUUGGAAACGAUAGCUAAUACCGCAUAAUAUUGAUUAUUGCAUGAUAAUUGAUUGAAAGAUGCUAUUGCAUCACUACCAGAUGGACCUGCGUUGUAUUAGCUAGUAGGUGAGGUAACGGCUCACCUAGGCGACGAUACAUACCCGACCUGAGAGGGUGAUCGGCCACACUGGGACUGAGACACGGCCCAGACUCCUACGGGAGGCAGCAGUAGGGAAUCUUCGGCAAUGGACGAAAGUCUGACCGAGCAACGCCGCGUGAGUGAAGAAGGUUUUCGGAUCGUAAAGCUCUGUUGUAAGAGAAGAACGGGUGUGAGAGUGGAAAGUUCACACUGUGACGGUAUCUUACCAGAAAGGGACGGCUAACUACGUG